GAUGAACGCUGGCGGCGUGCCUAAUACAUGCAAGUCGAGCGAACGGACGAGAAGCUUGCUUCUCUGAUGUUAGCGGCGGACGGGUGAGUAACACGUGGAUAACCUACCUAUAAGACUGGGAUAACUUCGGGAAACCGUAGCUAAUACCGGAUAAUAUUUUGAACCGCAUGGUUCAAAAGUGAAAGACAGUCUUGCUGUCACUUAUAGAUGGAUCCGCGCUGCAUUAGCUAGUUGGUAAGGUAACGGCUUACCAAGGCAACGAUGCAUAGCCGACCUGAGAGGGUGAUCGGCCACACUGGAACUGAGACACGGUCCAGACUCCUACGGGAGGCAGCAGUAGGGAAUCUUCCGCAAUGGGCGAAAGCCUGACGGAGCAACGCCGCGUGAGUGAUGAAGGUCUUCGGAUCGUAAAACUCUGUUAUUAGGGAAGAACAUAUGUGUAAGUAACUGCGCACAUCUUGACGGUACCUAAUCAGAAAGCCACGGCUAACUACGUG
This 497-nucleotide ribosomal RNA is filed under the name uncultured bacterium. Its description in RNAcentral is "partial 16S ribosomal RNA". It matches the Rfam family "Bacterial small subunit ribosomal RNA", at positions 28 to 507 of the family's 1533-position model. The record is from RNAcentral.